GCACUGGGUAUCCCCAAAGUCUUUUAAGCUUGACUUUAGCAGGCUUAGUGUACUUAAAACUACACUAAAAAUUUUCUGGGAGAUCCUAUAUAUUCAGUCACUUUUAAGAAUUGGGCAUUAUUUUAAAGUCCUUACUAAAGCCCACUAAUAUUAAUGAUAGUUUCUUUUAAGUUUCUAUAACCUUCUACACUAUCAGUACAGCAUAAUGGCAUUCAUUUAAUGAGCAUCUACUGAGCACCUACUAUGUGCAAAGUAAUAUUAACAUUCUGUAAGUUCCAUAAACAAAAACGUCUUUUUUAAAAUUGAAUUCCAUUCACUACUAUAGUGUCAUCAUUUUCAGGAAGGCAAUAAAGAUGGGGAGUUUGAAGGUAUAAAUAUACAAGAACAUUCCUCAUAUAUACUCACGUUUGUCAGCAUGAAAGCACAUAUACAAGUUUUCCCUUUAGUAAUCUUCACAUACUUUUUCUGUUAAUAUUCUUAGCUAGCUACAAAACGGCAAAACUCCCACAAGAUCUUUUGUGACUUGGAAGACCAAUAAAUAAUUUCAAUAUGAUUGUGAAAAUGAAGUGUCUUUCUAUGUAAUGCCAAAUGUCUGGAUGAAAUAAGACUUUCUUCAAUCUUCCAGAUGUGUGCAAAUAUUUAGAUUAUUGUAGCUGAUAACACAAUACUUUUUUUAAACUUUUCAUCCAGAUAUUUUGACAUUGUAUAGAUAGAGCUGAGAUACAAAAGUAAUAGGGAAGGGUUGGAGUAGAAGAAGAAGAAGGAGAGAGAGAGAAAGAGAGAGAGAGAACAGAAACACGGGGAAAAGUCCUCAAAAGAUGGAAAUUUGGUAAUUAAAAUUAUCUACACUAUACCAAGAAUCCUCACAAUUAGUUGAAAAAAUGACUCACAUUUCAUGCUUUGGAAAACAUUUUAUGCUUUGGAAAAUGUUCCCUUCACAACAACCUUGAGAGGAAAGGGGAAAUUAUUAUUGCCUAUUUUUUGCAAAAGAGAAAACUGAAGCAUAAGAAUAGUAUUAUUUGAUUGUCACACCUUCAAGGUCUGCAGAAACGCCAAAGACCAAAUAUUUCAAUCUCAAUUUUGAAAAAAGGAAUGCCUUUUAUAACAUAUCAAAUCCAACAGUGCUAUGUUUGAAAAUUUUGAAUAGGACAGAGUCAGGAACCAAGACUCCCCAAGAUAAUCCCUUCCUAACUGGAAUAUAUAAAUGGCUUCCUUCCAACUGUUAUCAAAUAACUGAGGAAACAAUGCAAGCGAAACAAUUUAUUGGUACAGGCAUAAUAAAUGGGUCAAUGGAUUUCUCAGUCAAUCCAAAGACCCUGAAUACAGAGUAAGACACAUUUUUAUGUAUUAAAAACAAUUAAUCAAAUAAGACCAAUUAUUUAAAACAACUAAUCAGGAUACAAAAUUAGAUUAUUUGAUUUCUAAUUGUGGGAAAGACUAGGGACUUUCCUCAUUGGGAAGGGGAGAGCAAAGAGGUACAAUUCCCUGAAAUCAGAAAAUGAGGUAUCCUAUUCUCCCCAAGAGUCUGUAUUCAAUCAAAGGAACAUGGAAACAAUAAUUGAUUGACCAGUAAGGAGACAAUUUUGAGACAUUUGCCUAAUGUUUGAGAUGUAUAACUGUGAGAAACGUCCUUGAAUCAAUCUCUGGAUCUGACUGGGUUUUUUGGUCAGCAUAACUUAAGUCUUAGUUAGGGCCUAGCUUCCCAGUUAUGUAAGGUUAGAUUCAAGCAAUGAAUAAGGUUUUCUCCCAAUUCUCAUAAUUGAAUAAAGUUUUCUCACAAAACAGAAAUUGGAAUAGACCUAUAAUUGAAUAGAAAGGGAAUUGAAGACAAUCCCAAAGGACUAAUGAUGAAGCAUACUAUCCAUCUCCAGAGAAAGAACUGAUAGUGUUUGAAUAGAGACUGAAGAAUGCUAUUUUUCACUUUAUUUGUUUUAUUUUUUCUUUUAUUCAAGUCUUCUUGUAUAAAAUGACUAAUAUGGAAAUUCUUUGCAUUAAAAAAGAGAACUGAGUUACUUCCAGAAUUGAGUCACAACAUGGAGUUAGAAUUCAUUCAAUUCUCACAUAUCUUCCAUCCAUUGCUCCAGUUCUGUCCUCUGAGGUCAAGCUGAAAAAAUAUGAUCAAUUUUUGAAAGGAGAGCCCUUCAAAUUCUAAAGACAGCUAUCAUGUUCUUCCUUCUCCCACUCUAUCCGGGCCUUCAUCCUUUCCUUCUUCAGGCUAAUUUUCCCCUACUUCUUUCAGGUGAGUCUCAUAGGCAUAAACACGAAUCCCUUCACUAUACUUUUUGUCACCCAUUGAACAUUUUCUAGCUUACUAAAGGUUUUCCUAAAAUGGAAAAACCUGUACCGGAAACAAUAAUACAGAUGUGUUGACCAGGGGUGGAUCCUGAACAUUAUAUCUCUCUUCAUGAAAACUAAUAUUGGAAGCUGGAUCAAAAUAUGGGCUAAUAUUGAGGUUGUAUUCUAUCAAAUCCUCCCACUUCUUUUCAGAUGAACUGCUAUCUAGCCAUACUUCCUUUCUUCUCCCUCCUUUUUAUACUUGUGAAGUUGUUUUUUGAACACAAGUCCAUGAAACCUUACAUUUAUCACUAUUCAGUUAUCUUAUUAUAUCCUGCCUAAUGUUCUAAGCCUGCAACAUCUUUCUAAAUCCUUAUUUUAUAAUCCAUUGUGUGAGCUCUCCUCUCAGCUUUGGGUCAUUGGCAGAUUAGAUAAGGAUGCCAUUUUUGUUAUUAUCCAGUGUCAUUAAUACAGUGUUAAAUAGCUCCAAGCCAAAUCCAACUCAGCUCCUCUUCUCAAGUUGACAGGAAAUCAUAAAUAACUACUUUUUGUGUCUGGCCCAUUUGGUUAGUGCCAAAUCCACUUGUAUUAUUUUCUAGCCCAUAUUUCCAUCUUUUUUACAGGAAUAAUUCUUUGCUACAAUAUAAAGAAAUAUAUAUAUAUAUAUAUAUAUAUAUAUAUAUGUGUGUGUGUGUGUGUAUGUAUGUACAUACAUAUAUCUACAUAUACUUGGAUAUUUUUUGCUGAUGACACAGAGCCUAUGGCCAAAUACUUAAUCCAAAUUUUACAAUAAGAUACUGUAAACACCUCAUUAAAAAAAAAGAGAAAAAAAUCAAACUUCUCUGGUGCAGAGGAAGAGUCAAAAUUGAUGUAGAUUUUCCAGAUUGUGAGGGCAGUGCCCCCCAAUCCUUGUAAUAUGGAAGGGAUAAUUGUACUUAAACCCAGACUCUAAGCCUGUUCUCGUGAAUUUCCUGAUGCCUCUUUUUAUUGAUAACUUUCAGAAUCCCUUUUUUAUAUUGCUAUCCCCUUAACACCCCCUCAAGUUUCGGAGUUUGUUUCUAGAGAAUCAAAUCAAUUUGAAAACUCCAAGGGAGUAAGAAAAAAAAAAAUCUUAUGUGAAAGAAGAGAAAGAUUUCUGUUCUUAAAAUCCUUUGUAUAUUGAUAAAUUUAAAAAUCAUGUUGUAUGAGAAACAAACUGCUUUGGUCUGUCUUUGAGGUAUUUUGAUGUUGUGUUUUGAAAAUAUUGAAGUUAUAAUAAUGGCAACAGAAAAGGAACAGAUACACAGCUUACACUCAGCAAAAUGUCACAUUUUUUAAAUCUGGCAACAGGCCGAGAUGGUGACUGUCUUUUCAAAGUCCUGUGAUGUUAAGAUUUGCACAGUCCUCCUCCUCCUCCUCCUCCUCCUUUUUCUCCACCUCCUUCAAGAGCACUAAAUGAAACAAGACUCUGGAAAAAGGGGACCGGGAUUUGGCACUGGCUGAGAUAAGAAGAAUACAGCAUCCGAGAUCUCCAGACUUUGUGAGGGAGCCCACUCGCUCAGACCGUGCCUUUUCACAUGAUUACCAUCUGUGCCUCCUCAGCUCCUUCCAGCUCUGUGUAGGCAGCUCCUUGGAUUCACGCCUGAAAGCAUCGCUCUACCAGGGCCCUGGAAACUGUAGUCAAGUAACAGGCCCGGCUUGGAUUCCCUCCACUGGAUUAAAAAAAAAAAAAUGGAGACCAUCUAUUCUGAGGGAAGAUUCCCGCCGGAGAAAUCAGCAUGCUGCUCAGACUGAGAGACACCUUCUCUAUUCCUGUACAUGUUAACAUUUUCGUAUUUCUCCCCACAGAGCAGAAAUUUGGAGAUUUUAGGGAUUUUAAAAGUAAUUUAGUAUAAUCCCACUAGACAGAUAGGGGAACUGAGGCUGCAGAGAGGCUAAAUGAUUAAUCUGUGGGAGCAAAUGGCCAGAACCGGGAUUUGAAACCAGGUGAAUCUCACACAAUACCUCUUUUUGGGAGGCCUUUUGUGGAUAUUCAAAAAAGGACUUAAAGGACACCUUAAGAAGUAAUUAUUUUUAUGGCAAAAAUACUAUGGCUCUUCUCUAGUUUCUUUGAGAUCUUACUCCAUAGACACAAGGGACUGGAGAUUGUGGCCACCCAAAUGCACACAAGGAGAUACACUUGGAUUCAGGUGUACGUGGAUUAUUUGCGCAGGAAGCCUUUGGAAGAAAAGGGGAAGGGGGAGGGAAGAAAUAAUGCUACUCCCUAACUGUAUCAGCUCCCAUGAGAAAGGCUCCUUUGGAAAGUCUCCUUGUAGCCUACCCAUGCAAUGAAUGCCUUAACCAUUUUCUUUUACUUUUCCAGUACCUUAUUAUCUCAAUUCCUUAGCUCCACUAUAAUCUGUUAAUUAAAUAUUGCAGAGCCACUUUCAUGCUCUAAGUUUGUACUUCUGGCAUAAAUGAAAUGGUUAAUAGAAAUUCAAGCUUUUGCUACUUGUUUAAGGGGGUUGUUUAUAAAGGGGGCAUAUGUAAUAAUGCAUAUUUUCUUUAUAAAUAAAAUACUUUCAUAUUCUCUGA
This 4827-nucleotide long non-coding RNA is filed under the name Sarcophilus harrisii (Tasmanian devil). RNAcentral's name for it is "lncRNA (ENSSHAG00000023171.1)". Lineage: Eukaryota; Metazoa; Chordata; Mammalia; Dasyuromorphia; Dasyuridae. The record is from RNAcentral.